This is a long non-coding RNA of Aphis gossypii (cotton aphid), 427 nucleotides long. RefSeq lists it as uncharacterized. Lineage: Eukaryota; Metazoa; Arthropoda; Insecta; Hemiptera; Aphididae. The transcript is spliced from 4 exons. The record is from RefSeq and is a predicted model, not a curated record.
ACUGCCAUCAACUUCAUUCAAUAUUGUAAAUAAUACUUUAAAAAUGUGUCUAAUAUAACUUUAAAAUUAUUUUUUUAUACAUCAUGUAGUUGUUUUAUAUUGGUAAUCAAUAAUCAUCAUUCACAAAAUAUCGUCAAAUAAAUAAAACGAACUAUCGAAAAAUGUAAAUAUAAUAGAUGUAACGUGUUGCAGUAGCGACUAGCGGCGCAGCAGUAGAAUAUGCGGCUCAUUCACAAAACGACGAGAUGAUUGUACGUGGUAAUCGCGUACUAUAUAGUGACAUAGUGUUAUGUAUAGUAUUUAUAUAGUAUUAUACUUAGGACGUGUGUAUAAAAUGAUAUUGGCGCCUUCGAGACCGCGUACAUUGUCGUCGGAGAUGGAGAGAGGGGCUAAAUUUAUUUUAUAAAUAUAUAAUAUUAUAAUAAUA